This is a non-coding RNA of Capsicum annuum, 107 nucleotides long. The record is from Rfam. Lineage: Eukaryota; Viridiplantae; Streptophyta; Magnoliopsida; Solanales; Solanaceae.
UGAUAGUGGUGAGGGCAAUUUCUAAGCAUGCCCUUAAAUCUUUCCCAAGCUUGGUAAGGAUUUUCUUCUUCUUUCUAUCUGAGACUUAGAAUCUCGCUUCUCAAGUA